RNAcentral lists this long non-coding RNA (31273 nucleotides) under Prunus persica (peach). RNAcentral describes it as "long non-coding RNA (PPER_LNC001538)". Lineage: Eukaryota; Viridiplantae; Streptophyta; Magnoliopsida; Rosales; Rosaceae. The record is from RNAcentral.
CUAAAAAUCAAUCAGUGAGACAAUGGCUGGAACCAAUGAUAUUAAAAUUAAAGGGUUUGAUUUGAGCAACAACAAAGGCAACACGUCGGGAUUAACCCACUUCGCCAACAGAGCUGCCGAGGGCGACAAGGGCGACAAUAAAAUCGAGGUUGAGGAUGCUAAAGGGCAAGGGAACACGGGAAACUUGAAAGUACUGACCGACUUCGCCCAACGCGGUAAAGUGGGCCAGUCGGAUCGCCAAGAACUACUCAAACCUCAGGCAUGAAAUUGAAGAAGGCCAGACCACAACAACUUGUCUGCUUGAUAGAUAUAUGUGCUAAAUUAUCUACACAAAAAUAAGAGCUGAUGUUUUAUCUGAGGCUCCUUCCUUGGUUAGGCCUCGUUAUCAUGUGUAAUAUUAAUAUUAUUAUUCUAAUAAAAUAAUGGUAGCUUAUUAUUAAAUAUAUCAGAAUUCUAUACGUAUAACUUUUAGAUUAUUGAUACUGAUGUCAACAAGAGAAAAUGAUUAAAAAUUCCUUUCUCCAAUUCGUGAUGUUAGACAAGAAGCAAACAAAUUUAGGAUAAUGGAUUUUAAAAGUUUGGUGACAAAUGAUGGUAAAGAAGAAUUUAGCCACUACUACAAAAAGUGAAAAAGACGACCAGAAAACAACGACGGUCUAAGUGAAAACCGUCGUGGUUUAUAAAAAGACGACGGUUCUAAAAACACCGUCGUGUAAUACAACCUUAGACAACUAAAAAAUGGAGUUUCAAAUGGCUGUUCAAAAACAACGACGUACAUAAUUAAACAACCGACGUCUAUUUGAAACAGAUUUCCUCAGUGUAAAAUCAAUGCCAACAAAGAACGGCAGAAGUUAUGAAUCGACCGACGUAGAAAGUAAAGACGACGAUUUCAAUAAAAACUGCCGUUUUUACUCAUAAAAUAACACGACGAGGUUUUCGUAUAAGACGCCGUAUAAUUACAAACAAAUCCACGGCUUUAAAAUACAAAAUAUCGCCGUAUUAAAUUAAUUUACAACGACGGAAAAUAUAAAUAUAUCGACGUCAUUCUCGUAUAGUUCUACUACGUUAUCUUUAAAUCGUACAAUAAAAUUUAUCGUCGUAUUUAUUCAUUUUAUACGUCGUACCUUUAAUUUUAACGGUCGUCUUAAUAAGAAUUUUUGUUAACAAUUUUUUUCUUUGAUUUUCUUAUCCUACGUCGGUAGAUCUACUUAAUGACAAGAAUUGAAAUAACCACGACGGUUUAUAUAGAACACCGCCGACAUAAUCAGUUUUGUCUGAGAUCCCAAGGGUUACGAAAUCUUACCAGAUGGAACUCUGUUCCACAUCAUAAUCUUAACAGAUGACACAGAUUUGCAAAUAUUGCGUCGUGUUAGUUUACAAAUUCUAGAACAUUAAUUUCCCUCAUUUUAAAUUUCCUCGGGAAAGAAAAAUCUAUUUAUCACGCUUUGGAAUUGAAAACUAAAACUGAAAGAAUACGGGAAAAAAAACUCCAUUUAUAAUUUAAAAUUAAAAUCCACGUCGGUUGUAGUACACUUAACGACGUUUAACAAAAUAAUCUACGUCGGUAAUUAUAAAUCUACCGCCAUCGUAACUUAAUAUAGACGACGAGAAAAGACGACGGUAGAACAGAAAACCGCCGUUGUUUCAGUUUCUUUAACAUAUCUUUCUGCAGGACUUGUGUAGUUCAAAGCAUUGACAAUGUCUUCAUCAUAUCUCCCAGAAACUACUGAUUCAAUUGCUCAUGCUUUAGAGGCCAUCUGAAGCCAUUUCUAUUCUUUAUCGCAUUCUUGAAACCCAUCUUCUUCUUCUGAAGCUCUACGGAUAAAGGAAGAGGCUAUCACAAUAAAUCCGACGGAUCUUCUUAGGCAAGAAAAUCAAGCAGAGGAUCAGGCACAUCUGAUCUUCAGAUUUCCCUGAGAAGCGAACUUUCCUUCGACAGCGAGUGGAGGCCAGGCUUGCAUCUCUUUUGAUGGAAAGCAAGGAGUAUUCAGAAGCACUAAGUGUCCUAUCAGGCUUGAUCAAGGAAGUGAGAAGGCUAGUUGACAAGCUUCUUCUUGUGGACAUAUAUUUGAUGCGAGUAAGCUCAAUUUCUCUUUGAGAAAACAUCCAAAUUAUUAUCUUUGAGACAUGAGAGACUGAGAGAGGAAGAACUUGGAACCUUAAAUGUAAACCGAAAAUGAAUGAAAGCGACAAAUUUAUAGAAUAAAUUUUUAAAACCAACGGCGGUCCUUACAAACAAACCGCCGUUUAAAUUGUAAAAUCAACGUCGGUAUGAUCGACGUAUAUUACAGAAAUCCACGUCGGUAAAUUAAUAAAAACGACGUGUUAAAUAAUAUACCAUGACGCGAGUUAUUACUUAUGUACUUUAAUUUUUGAGUUUACUACGACGGUACCUACAAACUACUGUCGUAUUUAUUUACCACGUCCGAAGUUAAAUGUACCGUCGUAUUUUGUAAUUUAUACGUCGUAGUUAUAUGUAACCGCCAUAUUAUUUUUUUGAAAUGGUUUUAUAUGUAAGCAACUUUUCGUCUACUUGACUUACACAUUUGUUGUUUUUAUAUUCUUAUUUUAUUUAAAUCUGUCAUCCAAAAAAGAAACUUUACAUAUUGCAGAAUAUUAAUUUCCUUCGUUUUAAAUUUCCUCCGGAAAAAAAACUCUAUUUAUAACGCACUGUAAUUGAAAAAUAAACUGAAAGGUCACGGGAAAAAAAAUUCUAUUCAUAAUUUAAAAAUUAAAAUCCACGUCGGUUAUAUUAAACCUAACGACGUUAAAUGAAAUGAUUCCACGUCGAAUGAAAAAUAUUGCGUCGUUUUAGUUAAAAACGACGUAGUUAAAUGUAACCGCCGUAUUAUUUUUUUGAAAUGGUUUUAUAUGUAAGCAACUUUUCGACUUACACAUGCACUGUUUCCAAACCCGAUUAAAAAUUUCAAUCUCCCAGAGAAACCUUUUCGUCUUUUUUCCUUGUCAGAGCAUUGUCAGAGUUUUUCAUCGUCUUCCUCUCGUCUUCUUCGUCGUCUCUGAACUUAAACAUCGAUCAUCUUCCUCUUGCUUUCAUUGCACGCAAAAGGUAAGCUUUCAUUUUCACUAUUUUGGUUACUGUUUUGCAUGCUCAUACGUUUUUUGUUUGAAAAAUCUUUUUACCUUUUUUCUGGCCAAAAUCAUUUUACUUCUUUCCAAGUUUGAUAAAAUAUACAGACAAAGAGAGAAAGUUUCCAACUUUGAAGACAACUACAUCAACUAAAUAAGACGACGGUAGACCACGACGGUUCGUCAGUUGUUCUAGCGUCGUCUGAAAAUUGACAAAGUUGUUUUUAAAAUAAUAGUCUUUUUUUAUAUGCUUGUUUAAUUGCAGGUUUGAUUUCGCUGAACAAUGGUUUUUGUUUUUCCCUUAUUUGAUAAAAUAUAAAGAAAAAGAAACUAGGGUUGGUAUCUAAUAUAGACGAUAAAAUAUAAAUAAUAGUUUACCACGACGGUGUAUUACUAUUGACGUCGUGUGAACAUAUAUACCACGACGUUAUAUAAAUAAUGGUUUUAAACAUUUAUUACGUCUGAGAUUAUUUCAUUGCGUCGUCUAAAAUCAUAUCAUACGUCGUAUUUUUUUAAUACCGUCGUUUGUGUUCUUAAUGUUUUCCUGAAAUAUUUUCACUUGCAGUUUUGUCUGUUAAAAUGGUUUCUCAACAACAAACUAAGGAUUCUGGCUCCAAGAAGCUUGGAAUGGUAGCUCCUCAAGAUAAGUCUUCGAAGGAGAUGAAGUCUUCGAAGAAGAUGAAGUUUGCUUCAUCAUCUGCUGAGACAGAACAAACCAGCCAGACAACAAUCUCAGAUGAUUCAAAGACUGGUCGAGGUAUGAGCACAAUGCCUCGUGUUGUGAAGAGAAAGCUUCAGAAACUGAGGCCAAUUGUUGAGUACAAUAAAAGGGGGAAAGGUGUUGGCCAAGCACAUAUUGAGAUGCAGUCGUAUAUUGGUGUGUUGGCACGCUCCAGGAUCCCACUUGUGGACAAGAAAUGGUCCCAAAUCCCCAAGGAUAUAAAGGAGCAGAUUUGGGAAGCAGUUGACAUGGCUUUUGUCGUAGGCCAAGGGGGCAAGACCUCUGUUUUAGCUUCUGCUUCCAAGAAAUGGAAGGAUUUCAAGUCUACACUAACGAGGCAUUAUAUCCUUCCAUACACCAAUGACAGGGAGAAAUUAAGCCAACCCCCUGAAACAUAUAAAUUCAUAGAGAAAGCACAAUGGGAUGCCUUUGUAGCUUCAAGGCUAUCCAAAGAUUUUGAGUCUGUGCAUUCUCAACAUGCACAGAUUAGGGAGAAACUCGAGUACAAUCAUCGAUUGUCUCGAAAAGGAUAUGCUGGAUUGGAGGAUCAAUUGGAGGAAACCAUGCCUGGGGUAGAAAUUGAUCGAUCUACCUUAUGGAAGAGAGCUAGACAGGACAAACAUGGUAACAUCCCUGAUCCAAAGGUGGCAGAGAAAGCAAAAUUAAUUGUAAGCCUACUAUCACUCUGUUUUAAAUUUUUAUUAAACUGUGAAUUAUUCUUAUUACGUCGUAUGUUAUAUUUUUCGUCGUGUGAAUGAUAUUACCACGUCGAAAAGUUUUUAAAAACGUCGUUAAAGGUCUAAAUAGGAAUCACUACUAUGUUUUCUGUAAUUACAGCAUAAGACGUCGGUGGUUCAUUUUCGCGUCGUGUGAAUGAUAUUACCACGUCGAAAAUUUUUUAAAAACGUCGUUAACGGUCUAAAUAGGAAUCACUACUCUGUUAUCUUUAAUUAUAGCAUAAGACGUCGGUUGUUUAUUCAUUUCGUCGUUUUAAAUAAAUAACCACGUCGGUAUAACUACCGUCGUGAUAAGUUAUAAUAACGUCGGUUUAUACGUUAUUGCGUCGUGUGAAAUUAUAUAAUACGUCGUUUGUACAUAAAUAACCGUCGUGUGUUUUUUUGUUUAUCUUUUUUUAGGAUGAAUUGCAGAAACAAGUCUCGGAAGGCAAAGUCAGAGUAGAUGGCAGCAAUGAUGUGCUGACCAUGGCUUUGGGCCCCGAGCAUCCAGGCAGACUGAGGGGAGUUGGUGCUGGUGUUUCCCCAAGGCAAUAUUUCAAUUUGCCCAAACCACAGAGGGUGAGCUUUGACGACCGUUUGAAGGACAGUUUAAGAGUUCUCCUUCAAGAAGAGACUAAAAAGAUGGAGGCUAAGGCAAGGGAAGAGGCCUUAAGGAUGGAGGCUAGGACAAAACAAUUGGUAGAGGCUGAGAGGGAGCAUUUCCUGAGUCAGCUUUCCCAAUUAAUUCCCAAUUUUGAUCCAAGCAUGCUUAAACCAAGAAUUAGCCAAAGCCCCAAAAAUCCAAUGUCUGACAAAGCUAGCUGCUCUGGAGGUGAUGUGAGAUCCCUACAUUUGGAGGAUGAUACUGCCAAAAUGGGGAAACAUCAGCCAGAUGAAGAGAAGGAAGAAGAAAAAAGAGAUGAAGAGAAGGAAGAAGAAAAGGAGAAAGAAGAUGAAGAAAAGCAUGACGACAAGGUAUGUUCACAUAACUUUGCCUUUUUUAUUUGUUUUUCAAAAUUUCAGACGUCGAUAUUUUUAUUUAAUCCGUCGUUUGUUUAAAACUUAGACGGCGGAAUUUUUUUAAGACGUAAUAAAAUAUUUAAACGACGGUUUUUGCACCGUCGUUUAAAUGGUUUCAGACGACGCUUUAUUCAUAAAACCGUCGUCUUUAUUGAAUUACCACGACAGUUUUUUCACCGUCGUUUAAAUACUUUUAAGACGACGUUUUAUUACUUAAACCGUCGUCUUUAUUGAAUUACCACGUCAUUUUUUUUAUUUCUUUAAACAGGUUAUUGAAGUUGGUGCUUAUUCAAAAAUGGAGGCGCCAUCUUCUUUAAAAACCCUUUGUCGUUUUGUGGAAACGACACUCCUGCCUGAGGAUAAGACACUCCAAUUUACAAUUGAUAAGGAGGUGUUUGGUGGUGAGCGCGAUACCUUCCUCCUGCCUGAAGAUAUUACACAAUUUGCAGGCAUGGAAGAAAUUGGAGCUACUGUAUUGGCUGUAUAUAUGAGGUUUGUACUUCUAAAAUAAUACCUCGUUGGUUUAUAUAUUGCGUCGUCUUAACUAACUAACCACGUCGUCUUAACUAACUACCGUCGUGAUAAAUAUAUUAUAACGUCCUCAUCUAUUUCAGUACGUCGUGUGAAAUAUUAUAAUACGUCGUUUUUUUAUACAUAACCGUCGUGUUUGUUUGUGCUGACUUGUUUAUAUUAUUUUAUGUAUUUAGGUACUUACACGAUGUUUUGAAACAAGCCAAUAUGUGCAGCAUGGUUGGCUUUAUUGACCCUGCUACAGUUAGUGCCAACUCUGGCACAAUAACUGAAAGAUCACGACUGGUAGCAGCUCGACUUCAGAAGACAGACGGUGAACAGCUUUUCAUGAUGCCUUACAAUCCAGGGUUAGUCUCCUUAGGAUUUUGUUUUUAUGAUUUUCAAUAAAUGACAGCUUAUAAACUAACCACGUCGGUGUUUUAUUUUAUUUAGUCGUUUGAAACUACUAACCACGUCGGUAUUUAUUUGUCGUCGUGAUAAAUAUAUAAUGUUGUCGUUAUCUACUUUAUUUCGUCGUGUGAAAUACUAUAAUACGUCGUUUUUGUAAAUAACCGUCGUUUUUAUAUUAAUUUUGUGCAGCCGUCAUUGGAUCCUGCUGAUUGUAAGAGCAAAGAAGGAGACCGUCUAUUUUCUGGAUCCUCUGCCAGGUCAUCGUGUGGUCGACGAAGAGGCGAAAAACAUCGUGAACAGUGCUUUAAAAAUAUAUAAUACCCACAUAGGCCGAGCAGGACGUAAAAAUGUAAUUUGAAAAACUCUCUCAGGCACACCAAAGCAACCCAGCAAUGUCGAAUGCGGGUAUUAUGUGAUGCGCUUCAUGAGGGACAUCAUCAUGGAUCCUUCCUUGGGGUUUGAGAAUAAGGUAAGAAGAAAUUACCUUCAUACAUUUCACGUCGUUUUUUGUAUUAUCAACGACGGUCAUGUAAAAUUAACGUCGUUGAAUGGAUAUACUACGUCGGUUAUGAAAAAUAUCGUCGUCUGUGAUUGAAUUUCUUUUUAUUUAUAAACCCUAAUAGUCAUUGUUUAUGCAGUAUGCCAAGGGAAACCAGGAAGCUUCAUACCCCCAAGAAGCCAUUGAUGAAGUCCGGAAUGAAUGGGCAGAGUUUGUUUUCCAAAUUAUUAAACAGGGCAAUUAUUGAACACUUGAUAUUUAUGUAUAAUGUACCAAUUUUCUCUAUAAUAUGUAAUGUAAAAAUUUGUUGAGGUUUUCUUAAAUUAAAAAAAAAACAAACAUACAAAUUGCUUAACCGACGUGUAAUACUUUUCCAACGACCUAAUAAAGUCACAAACCGUCGUAUUUUGUUGUUUCGUGUUUUAAACAAUUACGACGUAAAAAAAUAGUUAGACGACGUUCUUUGAACAAUUGAGUCGUUAAUGGUUUACAAUAUCUUCAAUUUCUUAAGGGUUCAGGGUAUAAUCGACGACGUUUAUGUAACGACUGCGGUUAAGUCGUAAAAUAUAUAUUUUACGUCGUAUAGUUAAAUAGCCGCCAUGGUUUUUCAUUUUAACGACGUCAUUUUAACGACUUAGUAGUCUAUUACAAUUUACAACGUCUACAAUUUAUUAACACCGACGUGGUUUGUUGUUGUGGUAAGAAUAUUUUAUUAUUUUUAUAUCAAAAUAUUCAAAAUAAAUUUAAAAUAAAUCAGAAAAUUGAAAAGUCAACUCCUAUGAAGUCAUUGAUAUAUUUUCUUCCACAUAAACCUUGAAAAAAUUCAUUUUGAAUAACAAAAAUUUAAAAUGACCAUCCAAAACAAAAUUGUUUUGAUGACUCAUAAAAUCACUUCUAGUUUUAUGGUUUAGGGUUUAGAGUCUAGGGUUUAGAGAUUAGGGUUGUUAUUUAUUGGGGUUUAUUUUUAAAGUAUAAUUUUUGGGUAGUCUAGGGUAUAUGUUAGGCUUUAAAACCAUAAAACCUUUUAUAAACUUAAUUUUUUAAAUUGUAUAAUUUAAUUUUAUGGGUUUAGGGUAUUAAUUUUUAACGACGGUGGUUGGGUCGUGGAAUACAUAUUUUACGUCGUACAGUAAAACAUACGACAUGGUUUACGCUUUAAACGACGUCAUUUUAAUAUGUAAGUCGGUUUAUAUAAUUUACAACGUCAACGUCUUUAAUUUCUUAACACCGACGUGGUUUUUCAGUCGUCGUUAUAUAAAAAAUUCAAAAUAAAUUUAAAAUUAAUCCGAAAAAUGAACGGCCUUACGUUCUUAAUCCGAAAAAUGAAGUUUCCGUCGUGGAAUAUUAAAUUUACGUCGGUACUUGUAGAACUUUCGCCUUGGUUUUUCUUUCGACGUUUUAAAACGCGCGCGCUCUAAAAAUUUUCGCGCGACCUAAACUUUUUUAGAUUUGGCUCUUAUUCUUAUACUUCGAACCCUGAAACCUAAAANNNNNNNNNNNNNNNNNNNNNNNNNNNNNNNNNNNNNNNNNNNNNNNNNNNNNNNNNNNNNNNNNNNNNNNNNNNNNNNNNNNNNNNNNNNNNNNNNNNNNNNNNNNNNNNNNNNNNNNNNNNNNNNNNNNNNNNNNNNNNNNNNNNNNNNNNNNNNNNNNNNNNNNNNNNNNNNNNNNNNNNNNNNNNNNNNNNNNNNNNNNNNNNNNNNNNNNNNNNNNNNNNNNNNNNNNNNNNNNNNNNNNNNNNNNNNNNNNNNNNNNNNNNNNNNNNNNNNNNNNNNNNNNNNNNNNNNNNNNNNNNNNNNNNNNNNNNNNNNNNNNNNNNNNNNNNNNNNNNNNNNNNNNNNNNNNNNNNNNNNNNNNNNNNNNNNNNNNNNNNNNNNNNNNNNNNNNNNNNNNNNNNNNNNNNNNNNNNNNNNNNNNNNNNNNNNNNNNNNNNNNNNNNNNNNNNNNNNNNNNNNNNNNNNNNNNNNNNNNNNNNNNNNNNNNNNNNNNNNNNNNNNNNNNNNNNNNNNNNNNNNNNNNNNNNNNNNNNNNNNNNNNNNNNNNNNNNNNNNNNNNNNNNNNNNNNNNNNNNNNNNNNNNNNNNNNNNNNNNNNNCUGUUUUUGUUUAAAACCCGUCGUCUCAUGUUGUUUAUACCUUGCGAUUAGAUCAUGUAUAAUCUGCUAUAGUGAUGGUCAUGCCUGUAUUUUCACUUUUAUAUAGAUAAUAGGUUAUAGUGUCGGAGAUGGAUAAGUCAUGGAUGCACUCGGAUAGAAGAUCGAAGGCAUAUGAGUUUGGGGUGGAAGCAUUUUUGAACUUUGCUGUAGAAAAUCUUCUAACUACAACACAUAUCCGUUGUCCAUGUGUUAAAUGUGUUAAUUUGAAGUUGUUUGGGGUUGGAAUUAUAAGGGAUCACUUAUACUUUAAUGGAAUUGACCAAAGCUAUAAGAAUUGGACAUUUCACGGAGAACCUUGGGAAGCAACUACUAAUGCUAGCAGAAAUGUUGAAGAAGAUGAUGGCCAUAGUAGGUACAGUUUUGUGUCUGAAGAAAUUGAUAUGGAUGAUAAUGAUUUUGGUGAUUUUGGUUCGGAUCCGUAUGAGUUUGCCAAUGUGAUUGGGGAUGGAGAUCAACCAGUGUACCCUGGUUGUAGAAAGUACACGAAGUUAUCGGCAUUAGUGAAGUUGUAUAAUUUGAAGGCAAAACAUGGGAUGAGUGAUGUCUGUUUUACAGAAUUAUUGAUACUUCAAGGCGAUUUGCUUCCAGAAGGAAAUACAAUACCAACCUCCAUGUAUGAGGCUAAAAAGACUUUGUGUGCAUUGGGGCUGAGUUAUGAGAAAAUGCACGCAUGCCCCAAUGAUUGCAUCUUGUAUAGGAAGGAGUAUGAGGAUUCAACUAAUUGUCCUACUUGUGGUAUCUCAAGGUGGAAGGAAGGCAAAGAUGCAAUCUUGAAAGAGGGUGUGCCAGCGAAGGUGGUGUGGUAUUUUCCCCCAAUUCCAAGGUUUAAAAGGAUGUUUCAAUCACAUGAGACAGCUAAGAGUUUGACUUGGUGGCAUGUUGCUAGAAAAUCAAUUGACGGUCAGAUGUCUCAUCCGGCGGAUUCCCCGUCUUGGAAACUUCUUGAUGAUAAAUGGCCUGAGUUUGGUAAUGAGCCGAGAAACUUGAGAUUGGCUCUUUCAUCUGAUGGAUUCAAUCCCCACAGUUCUCUAAGUAGCAGAUAUAGUUGUUGGCCGGUUAUCUUAGUUACAUAUAAUCUCCCUCCAUGGCUGUGCAUGAAACGAAAGUUCAUGAUGUUAACCUUAUUGAUUUCCGAUCCUAAACAACCCGGAAAUGAUAUAGACGUCUACUUGGAGCCUUUGAUUGAUGAUUUAAAAUCCUUGUGGGUUGGGAUUAGAGGAGUGUAUGAUGCACAUAAUGGAGAAUACUUUACACUCAGAGCUGCAUUAAUGUGGACAAUUAAUGAUUUCCCCGCCUAUGGAAACUUAUCUGGUUGUGUUGUUAAAGGAUAUAAAGCUUGUCCAAUAUGCGGCGAUGAUACACCUAGUCAAACAAAUAUUUUUUGUUGACGACCCGAUGCAUCGUGGUUGGUCGUGUAGGCGUGUGAGUGUGUGUUUGUGUUUGUUUUUGUGUGUGUGUGUGUGUGUGUGUGUGGUGUGUGUGUGUGUGUGUGUACCAUUACUNNNNNNNNNNNNNNNNNNNNNNNNNNNNNNNNNNNNNNNNNNNNNNNNNNNNNNNNNNNNNNNNNNNNNNNNNNNNNNNNNNNNNNNNNNNNNNNNNNNNAUGUAAUUGGCAGUGUAUGACAUUAAUUUUGUAAUAUAUUGUAAUGUGAUUUCUUCACUUUCUACGUUCAAAUAAAACACGACGUUAUUGUGAAUCAGUUAUUCAGCAUAUUUACCGACGUCUUAAAGCAACGUAACAAUGAAGAACCACGACGCUAUUGUGAAGCAAUUAUUCAGGAUAUCACGUCGGUGAAGGAUAAAGAACCGCCAUGUAAUUCAAAAUAACACGACUCCAAUCCCAUAAUACCGACGUCUAAAAAACGAGAUAUGUAAUCUGAACGUUAAAAAAUACGACGUCAUCAUACAUUUUCCACGUCGCAAGUUCUUUUAUAAACGAAGAGGAACGAAAUUAAUUCCGACGGAAAUUCAUUAUAACCGCCGUCUAAUAACAAUUAAACGACGUUAUUUGUAAUACGGCUCCCAUCAUAAUCUACGCCGUCUAUAUGUUCUGUAAUACGGCUCUCAUUUAUUUGGAACCGACGUUGUUUAGACGUUCAACGUCGUCUAUAUUAUUAAGUGCGUCGUGAGUAAUGAAUACAUAUAAAUACAACGUCGACUAUAUAAAUGUAUACGUCGUAAAUAAUGACACUGACAACUAUUUCCACGUCAUCUUUUUUAGAUAAAAUCGAAGUGGAAAAUUUAUUUCACGACGGUUUUUUGUAAAUAAGAGACGUUGUAGAACUUUAGCAGACUAAACACGUCUGUUUUUAUUGUUUUCCGACGUUGUUGUAUUUAACAACGUCUAAUAUUUAUGGUCGUUGUUUGUUUCUGAAAAUAGGACGUAUAAAUUUUUUAAUACGACUCUCAUAUAUUUGUAACUGACGUUGUUUAGUUUUUCAACGUCUACUAUAGAAACACAUACGUCGUAAAUAAUGACACUGACAACUAUUUCCACGUCAUCUUUUAUCAAAAAAUCGAAGUGGAAAAUUAAUUGUACGACGGUUGUGUUUAUAUGUGCGACGUAGUAGGUAUCAAUAACAUCGUCUUCUAAUGUAUUUAAAGACGUCAUAUUUUUUAUUGUCGUGAAAAUUAUAUUUAACGUCGGCGUAUUUUUAUUGUCGUCGUUGUAUGUCUAUCUUGCGGCCUUGUUCUCUUAAUAUGUGUCAUAUUUUCCCUUUUUAACGACGGUCUUUUUAGAGAAUUGGUCGUCUAUUAUCAUCAUCGAUUGCUUUUUUUAGAUCUUUUUGCAGUACAAAGACGUCGUUUUGUAUUUUUUGAUGACGUUGUAUUGUUUAACAACGACGGUUAUUUAGCGUCGUGGUUUAUGAGGGAAAAGAUGACGGUGGAUUCCACGACCAUUGAAAAACCAAAUACACGACGGUGAUUUACCGUCGUCUUUUUGCUUUUUUGUAGUAGUGAUCGGAAACUUGACUAAUUAGAAUACAACAUAUGUCGAAAUAUUUUUAUCAUAAAUGGUCUCUAAGGUUCGUGAAAUUAUUAGCUUUAGUCCUUCAUGUUUUUUUGUGACAUCAUUGGUCCUUUAUGUUACUCCUCUUCACACAUCAAUUUGGUUCUGCCGUUUGGAUUCGUCAAAAUUUAUGUUAAAUUGAUGGCAUGACAUGUAUAUGGUGCCUACAUAUCCAAUGAGAUAAUGACCCGUGGAUCUAAGUAAAAAAUUUGUUUUAAAAAAAUAGUUUCAUAUUUAAAAUUUUUAAAGGGCGAAGACUCAUUGGGUAACUCGAAGUUUGGGUUGUUGAAGCCUUCAAGCAUGGUUUUGCUCACAAAAGAUUGGAACGCAAUGUGUUGGGUUGAGCACUGAAAACCAAAGAAUAUCAAAAAUGUAGUAGGGGGGAGAGAGAGAGAGAGANNNNNNNNNNNNNNNNNNNNNNNNNNNNNNNNNNNNNNNNNNNNNNNNNNNNNNNNNNNNNNNNNNNNNNNNNNNNNNNNNNNNNNNNNNNNNNNNNNNNACCUCAUGUCAGCACUUAAUAGAAAAUUUGACGGACCCUAACGGCAUGGAUCAAAUUGAUGUGUGGUGUGUAACAAAAAGGAUCAAUAAUGUCACAAAAAACAUAAAGGACCAAAGUUGAUAAUUUUGCGAACCUUAUACACCAUUUAUGAUAAAAACCCUAUAUUGUAUAAUUUUAGUGUGUUUUUUUCUUAAAUGCUAUUGAGAAGAGAUUUUAUAAAACUGCUAUAUAAAAGGUUCACCACAAUGCUAUAAAACAAUAGUAGAUUAUGGCUCUCAGAUGUUUUCAUCUUCUUAUUCAUCCAAGCAGAUCGAUAACAUAUGGUCACUACUGACUUUUUCUUGUAGUUCUCAACAUCCAUCUUUCAAGCCAUCAACCAAGUUGUUGCAUUGCUCCUCACUGUUAGAAAAGCCUCGUUUCCCUCCUCCUCCUCCAUUGAUUGAAGGAGAGACAACAAAAGCAACUUAUGAAACAAGCCCCUCAUUUCCUUGUUAAACAUAAAUCGACCCAUUAUUGAUGAGGACUGAGAAUCUAAGAGCACACUAGUAAUUAACCUGAGUGGGGAAUAUGGAUGAUGGAUCUCUCUCUCUCUCUCUCUCUCUUGAAAAAAUCAACUUCAUUAUCCUUGGUGAAUUUGUUCUGAAUUAGUCGUGUCCAGCUACAAGCAAUACUGUACGUAGUAUAUUAUUCUCUGCAUUUGUGCAUGCCAACAACAAACAAAUAUUAUUCUCUAUUAUAGCAUAUAGGCCGUCAUUUUCAAUCCUUAUAAGAGAAAACUUGCUUCGCCAUAAGAGUACGUAGCUUGGCAAGCAAGGUAAGGGUACUUCAAAAGAUUCCUUCCAUCAUCUAUAUAAGACACAUGUGACAUUGCAUGUCUCAUCAAUCAUGUUAAGAUAAAGCUAGCUGGCAAGGCAAAUUACCAACCUUUAUGCUCGAGUAUAUUAUUCCAAGCAGAUAUAAAUGUUAAUAUAUGUGAAGAAUAUUAUGAUCAAUAUAGAAUAUGUAUCAUGAUCAGUUAUGGUAUCGACUGUCAGAAAAUAUCAUCCGCAUAUGUGCAUACCAACAUUAUCGAAAGACAGUAGGAGUAUCGUCAUAUCCGAUACAAGUAUCGGAGCAUGGGUAAGAGUAUAUAUACAAGCAUACCCGUCCAAUUAGGAGAAUCAGUGCAACAUAGAUGAAAAGAAAUUAGAUGUGAUUUCACAUAUUUUUAAAGAAUAGGGGAAAUAAACCAAUUAAUCUCUUUUGUCUUCUCCAUACAUUUUUGGUUGUGAAUUUUGGUUUUCGAAGAAUUUGGCAUUUCAAGCAACUUGGAAAACAUUUUGAUGAUCCAUUGAACCUUGUUAAAGUCGAUAUUCAAUCUCUAUGGACUUUGGCCGAAAUGUCUCAUUUCAAUUGGAAAGUGACAUUGAGAUUUGAAAAGACUAGACAUUAAGGUGGCAAGAGAAGUCUAAAAGGAUCAAACAGAAAAAAAUAAUGAAAAAUUGAAAAUAACCUAGAAAGGGGAGAAAAAAUUAGUUGCAAUAGGGAUAAUAAUGUUUGAGUAAUGCUAAACGAACUCUAAAAUUAACUUAGUACACCCUACUAUCAAACUAUUUAUUGAAUUACUAAUUUACCCUAAUAUAAAAUGACCAAAAAGGAUAUAUUGAAUUGUGCAGCAAAUGUAAUUUUAAUAAGUACACAUUACUCACCAUAUUCAACCCUAAUAUUCGAUGGAGGCGACAUUGAAUGCUAUGAAUCCAACCCAAACCCACCACCACCGUCCCUCUCUCUCUCUCUCUCUCUCUCUCUCUCUCUCUCUCUCUCUCUCUCACAAAUUAUCUUAUUUGCUCUAAAUUUUUUGCAAUGAGUCAGAAUCUUCUAUGUGUAUGUGGCAUUCGUUCAUUAGACUUGGUUAAUGCAUUCAACCCACCCAAAACAAUAAUCAUUUGAUGUUCAUCCUCGAUGUUGGUGGUUUCAAGUGAGCAUGUUCCCAAACGGCUCUUACACUUGCCCACUAGAACUCCAGCUCCUCACCCUCUGAUGAAUCUAAUGACAAUUAUGUUGUUGUUUGCACCAUAAACACCAACUUCCAACAACUCCAAUACAACCUAUUUCUUCUUAAUUAGAUACCUUGGGGGUUGAUAGCAACCUCAAUAGUCUAAGAAACAAACCCACUUCGGAAUUUUCCUUCUUCCACUAGUUGAAGGGAGAUGGGUUCCAACACGAUAUUACGCGCUUAUUAGAAUCUUAUACUCGUCGAGUCUGGGUUGGCUGGUGAUAAGCAGGGGAAGGGUGGAGUUGGGUUGUGUUAGAGAGAGAGAGAGAGAGAGAGAGAGAGAGAGAGAGAGAGAGAAAGAGAAAGAGAGAGAGAAGGGCGGUAGUGGUUGGGUUGGGUUGGAUGCGAAAGGGCUUAAAUCAGAGGAGGAAGGACGGGUUUGGCUGGGUGGGUGACAGGACCCGACCCAAUUUCCGCUUUGGAAUCCGAGCUGAAUCCUGUGCGUGUCCGACACCUGGCGAAUGUCGGGCACGAAUGACCUUUUUACCCUUCUCUUUUCAAAUUCUUUUUUUUUUUAAACUUCCCUUAGACUUCUACCGAAAAUUCGACAGAGUCUCCCCUGUAUUUUGACCAAACCCAAAGUCUUCCACCUGUCAAACAGUCUCAAAUAACACACCAACUACCAGACUAACUCAACCAACAGAUCUCAACUCCAGUUUCUCAUGUUCAACAAGAUAUCAAAGCAUUUCUAUACAAAUUUACAGAACUAUGAGAAAGUUACAACGAGAUCCUACACUUUGGGGGUGGGGCGAAAGCUGGGAAGAUGGCCCGAGUGGUUUCCUUCGUACUUCUAUGGCCUGGGGGCGAAAAACAAGGUUAAAAUUGUGAGUGGACAAAAAUAAAAUUCUUUAAAACAAAAACAAGUUAGAACAUAAUAACCCCCGUUUUGAAAUACUAGGGAUAUAAAUCGUUAAUUUAGCUAUAUUUCAAUAUAAGGAAUUCAAUAAACAUGAAUAAAUAUACUGACGAAUAAACUUGCAUAACUGAUCAAAUAUAUAUAAAGAUAAUAACGCAUGAAUAUCAAGAAACUGGUAUAAAAUCACGGGAAAUCAUAACUGGAUAAAAGAGCUCAAAAUCCUUUGAAACUACCACCUAGAUGUACCCCUGUCAUAUCCGUCAAUUCCCCUGGCAGGUCUCGGGCGUCACGCAGUCUACCCGAGCCGCAAACUGGCGAAAUCAAGGGACUAUGAUCAGCCUGAUCCGCCGGCAGGUCUCGAUGACACCAAGUCGACUCGAGCCGCUCUGGCAGGAUGCAGGGGACCGCAGUCAGCCUGAUCCGCAAUCCUGGCAGGUCUCGGGGACACAGAGUCAGCCGAGCCGCAAAUCCUGGCAGGUCUCGGGACACCAAGUCUGCCGAGCCGCAAAUUCUGGCACUCACGGUCCGAGCGUCCCCGAAACUCGUGAGGCAAAGUCAAGUGCACUGACGUAACUGAAAUCAGACUGGAUGUUCGUAGACAUCGGUCCGACUGUGGGUAAUCACCAUAAAUAGAUGGGUACAUGGUGGUUUAACAAGAAAUUCUGAUAACUCUCUGAAAUCUGAUAAGUCUGAACUAAAUUACUAUCUUUGUAUCAAAAGUCUCAAGUUUACUGCUCAACCAAUAUUAUAAAAAUAAAGAUAUUUCACAAUGCAAAUCAUGCUUCGAAAUUACGUAAUAACACUUAUUCAAGAUCAAAUAGAAAAUAUAAUUAUAAAAUCUUUUAGGAAAGAAAAGUCCACUCACUGUUGGUCCGAGCUAUCUGGACCCUUCGAAGAUCCCUCAUGUGGGUCAACUGGACCUCUGGUGCCUUACUCGAUUGAUUUGGUGGAGAAUUGAAGGAGAACGAAGGAGAUGAAGUUUGGAUGAAAAACAGGCGGAAAUCGCCAGUUUCCGGCCAAUUCCCGGCGGUCCAAGGCCGGCGACGGGUCGAGGAAGGGAGGCGGCGGCGAGGCGGACCGAUUGACACCAACGGCGGAGGUCGCCGUGCCCUGUAGCGACGGCACGCUCGAUCUGAAACAGGGAGGGGGGCGGCGGUUGCGACGGGAGAGAGAGAGAGAGAGGAGAGAGAAAUGAGGAGAGAGAAGAGAGAAGGAAGAGAUAAAAUCUGACUUUUUUUUCAAAUUACCGUUUUGCCCUUCGAGGUAAUUUAAUCGUAUCUUCUUCAUUACAAUUCCAAUUCGGGUCUACUCCGUGUCUACGGACUCGUUUCGCCGUGCUCUACGCAACGGCGCAAGCGAAAUUCUCAAAUUCUUUCUUGAUCAAAAAGUCAAAUUUUCCCCUAUUAAAAUAUGCGAGGGCAAAAUCGUCUUUUGGGUAGAAUAAAGAAAUCCUAAUUUUUAGAUAUUUUAGUUUGGGUUAUUACAGUGGGGGGUGGAGAGAUGAUGGGAGGUCGAUUUAACAGGGUUAAGUGUUGUUAAGUGGUUUACCACAUGUCAAAAAAAUAGAAGGAAAACAUGUCGGGCACAUGGCAUUUGGUAACAGUAAAAUUGGACUCAUGAAUGAGUUAGGUGUUGUGUGAUAGAGUGUAUUAGGGUGUACCAUGGGUAUUUUUAGUAGUUAAAUAGGAUGUACUGAGUUAAUUUUAUAAUUUGAUUUAAAUAUUAGGGUAUACUUAGAUCAUAGGGUGUACUCAGUUAAUUUUAAGGUUUGUUUAGCAACAUUCUAAUGUUUUGUUAUCCCCGGUCAAUAAUUUUAUAUCGUGUGGCUUAGAAGGAGGCCUGUUAUCCAACUCAUCUGGUCCACCGUCCAUGAUAUGAACCCGACUUGAGAAUCUUUUGGUGAAGUAGAACAACCCAACUUGAGAGUUGAGGCAGCCAAACUAGAAGGGAAGCAUCCCCACUCCAGUCCCGCUCCCCAUGUGCCCAAUACUUUGCUUGUUUACUUCACCUUUUAAACCUUUUAGGAUUUUCCAUAGGCUAAGAGGAAAACAACAACAUUACGGCCCAGUUUACGAAUGGAUUCGAGGGGAAAUUACUUCCCAUGCCAUUUUUUAAGGGAUGGAAAAUGGAGAUUCAUUUCCCAUAUUUGAUAAUCCUAGGAAAGUAACUAAGAAAUACUACUUUAUUUCCUUUCACAUAUUUGGUUUGUGUAGGAAUGUAAAACAAAGUUAGUUUAAUUUUUCAAUUAUAUCCAUAUGAAAUUAAAUUUUAAAAAAAAUGUAUUUAAUGCUAUAUUGUUAAUGGGGACAAUAUGGUCAUGAAAAAUGUGUAUUUAAUGUUGGCUAAUUUUCUCAAACUUUCUCAUGUGCAAGACAACGAUUUCUCAUGCCUAGACUUACCAAAUAUGGGAAAGCAAUUGAUUUCUCAUCACCAAGCCUCCUUUCCCAUGAACCAAACAGGACCUACAAGUUAUUAGCUUCAAGCCUUCAAGGAUUUUCAUAACAAAUCUUCCAAUCUCACACAAAAAUAAAAAAGCAUCCAUGUAUGUAAUUUCUAGAUUAAAAUCUCACUUUUUAGGCAUUCCAUUUUCUUAGGAUUAGGUAUUACUACGCACGGACAAUCUUACGAUUAUCUGCAAUUCAUCCUUCAAUAGCUAUGGACGUUAUAUCAAAUCAACAAUAAGACGUACAUUUCUUCAAAGAACUAAAUCAUGCGGAUGUCAACUUGCUCUCACUUAUAUGUUUGUCUCUCCAUAUGAGGAAGGGUGUUUAGCUUAAGGUUUUAGGGCGCGGUUGUCUAAGAACAAUAAGGUGAACAUGUUUUGUCAAAGUACAUGGGAGACCUUUAUCUUCAAACACAAAAAAUGGCCAAAAUUAAAUUAGCAAGGAUCGACAUAUGGAUGUGAGCUUUUACACAUUGCCACUAAUUCUCUCCAUACUUUUGUUGAAAUCAUUUACAAAAUAAGAAAACUUUAGUAAUUGAAGCGAAAGAGAAGAAUUACCAGAACAGAAAAUAAGAAAAAAGAAGCACCUAACCCAAACUUUAAGUCACGAAUUUAACAGUUUACUUUUUAAAAAAAGUAAGUUACAAAACAAUCCCCUUAUUGAUGAGGAUUGAGAAUUUAAGAGCACUAAUAACUUGAGUGAGGAAUAUUGCACAUGGACGAUGGAUCUCUCUCUCUCUCUUUGAAAAAAAAGAAAAAAGAAACAAAAAUCAACUUCAUUAUCCUUAGUGAAUUUGUUCUGGAUUAGUUGUGUUGCAAUGGAACAUCGAACCUACCUAGCUAAAAGGAAAAAAGAAAGGCCACUACGACAGUACUGCAGUAUAUUAUUCCAAGAAGACAAAUGUAAACUAUAUACGUGAAGAAUAUCUAUUAUUGGUCGUCAUUUUCAAUCCUCAUAAAAGAAAACUUACUUCGCCAUAAUUUCAGGUUGUUCUCAAGGCAGGAAGGUAAGGACACUUGAAAAGAUUCCUUCUCAUCAUCUAUACAAGGAAAUGUGUUCUCAUCAAGCUAGGGGACAAGGCAAAUUAGCAACCUUUAUACUCGAUAUAUUAUUCCAAGCAGAUAUACAUGUGAAGAAUAUUAUGAUCUUGAUCAAUAUGGAAUCAGUGGGUGUAUCGAUCGACCAUCCAAAGAAAAAGGAUAUCCUCUGCAUAUAUGUGUGCAUGCCAACAACUAUAAAAGGAGACCAUGAGGCAAUGAGUUGAUCAUCAAAGCAAACACACAGAUAUCCCAACUAAAAAUCAUUCAGUGAGACAAUGGCUGGAACCAAUGAUAUUAAAAUUAAAGGGUUCGAUUUGAGCAAAAACAGCGGCAACACGUCCGGAUUAACCCACUUCGCCAACAGAGCUGACGAGGGCGACAAGGGCGACAAUAAAAUCGAGGUUGAGGAUGCUAAAGCGCAAGAUAACAAGGGAAACUUGAAAGUACUGACCGACUUCGCCCAACGUGGUAAGGUGGGCCAGUCGGAUCGCCAAGAAAUCACGGGGAGCAAGCCACUUCAGACGGCAGCAUGAAAUUGAUGAAGGCCAUACCAUAAUAAAAUAUCUACACUAAAAUAAGAGCUGAUGCAGUAUCUGAGGCUCCUUCCUUGGUUAGGCCUCAUUAUCAUGUGCAAUACUAAUAUUAUUAUUCUAAUAAAAUAAUGGUAGCUUAUUAUUAAAUAUAUCAAAAUUCUAUACGUAUAACUUUUAGAUUAUUGAUACUGAUGACAUACCAACAAGAGAAAACGAUUCAAAAGUCCUUUCUCCAAUUCGUGAUGUUACAAAAUGAGACGUCAAAUUUAAAAAUAUAGUUGCAUACGAGUAUAAACUGAACCAAUAAGCAAUGUAUGAGUGACCAAAGGUCUCAAACGAUGCAUUUAAGAAGAAGGGUACUAAAUUAAAAGAUGUACGCCAGUGAACUAUGGCAAUCUCUCGUUGCAUGCACGCAUAUGCAAUUGAAGAAGACCUAACUUAUAUCACGAAGAAGUGGAUGGGUCUUUACAUAUGAAGUUUUUAAAAUUAACACUACCGGAAGACAAUAGGAGUAUCGGCGUAUCUGAUACAAGUAUCGGAGUCUCGGAGUAUUAGAUUUGAGCAUACCUGUCCAAAUAGGAGUAUCGGUGCAACAUAGAUGAAAAGGAAUUGGAUGUGAUUUCACAUAUUUUUAAAGAACAGGGGAAAUAAACCAAUUAAUCUCUUUCGUCUUGUCCACACAUUUCUUGUUGCAAAUUUUGGUUUUCAAAAAAUUUGGCAUUUCAAGCAACUUGGAAAACAUUUUGAUGAUCCAUUAUUGAACCUCUAAAGUCGAUAUUCAAUCCCUAUCGACCUUGCUCAAAAAAUGUCUCAUUUCAAUUAGUGCAGAGAAAAAUAAAGGCAGAGUUGAAAAUAGAUUUUUCAGUUUGGAAAGUGACAUUGAGAUGUAAAAAGACUAGACAUUAAGGUGGCAAGAGAGAUCUAACAGGAUCAGACAAAAAAGGAAAAAAAAAUGAAUGAAAAAUAGAAAAUGCCCUAGAAAGGGGAGAACAACUUAGUUGCAAUGGGGAUAACAAUAUCUUGCUAUUACUGGUCAAUAAUUUUAUACCACGUGGCCUAGAAGGAGGCCUGUUAGUCCAACUCAUCUGGUCCACUUCCCAUUAUAUGAACCCGACUUGAGAGUUUUGGUUUUUUGGUUGAAGUAGAACAACCCGACUUGAGAAUUGAGGCAGCCAAACUAGAAGGGAAGCAGCCCACUCCACUCCCGCUCCCCAUGUGCCCAGUACUUCGCUUGUUUACUUCACCUUUUAAACCUUUUAGGAUUUUUUUUAUAGGAUAAGAGGAAAACGACGACAUUACAAGUUAUUACGCAUCAACGUAUGUAAUUUCUAGAUUAAAAUCUCACUUUUUACGCAUGUCAUUAUCUUAGGAUUAUGUAUUACUACGCACUGACAAUCUUACGAUUAUCUGCAAUUCAUCCUUCAAUGACCAAAGACGUUAUAUCAAAUCAACAAUAAGACAUACAUUUCUCCAAAUAACUAAAUUAUGUGGAUUUCAACUUGCUCUCAUUUAUAUGUUUGUCUCUCUCCUCCUAUUGAUUAGCCUCUCCAUAAGAGCAAAUAUGAAAAAAGAAGCUCCCAAUCCGAACUUUAAGUCACAAGUUUAACAGUUUACUUUUAAACAAAAGCAAGUUACGAAACAAUCCCCUGAUUUCCUUGUUAAACAUCAACCGACCCAUUAUUGAUGAGGAUUGAGAAUCUAAGAGCAUAUGGACGAUGGAUCUCUCUCUCUUUUUGAAAACAAAAACAAAAACAAAAAACAAAAAUCAACUUCAUUAUCCUUGGUGAAUUUGUUCUGGAUUAGUUGUUUUGAAUUAGUACAGCUUACGUACGCAAUGGAACAUCGAACUUAGCUAGCUAAAAGGAAAAAAGAAAGGCCACUACUACAGUACCGCAGUAUAUUAUUCCAAGAAGACAAAUGUAAACUAUAUACGUGAAGAAUCUCUAGUAUUGGUCGUCAUUUUCAAUCCUUAUAAAAGAAAGCUUGCUUCGCCAUAAUUUCAGGUUGUUCUCAAGGCAGGCAGAGAGAGUACGUAGCUUGGCAAGAAAGGUAAGGGCACUUCAAAAGAUUGUUUCUCAUCAUCUAUAUGAGGAAAUGUGUUGCCAUCAAGCUAGCGGACAAGGCAAAUUAGCAACCUUUAUACUCGAUAUAUUAUUCCAAGCAGAUAUACAUGUAAAUAUAUGUGAAGAAUAUUAUGAUCAUGAUCAAUAUAGAAUCUGUAUCAUGAUCAGAGGGUAUCGAUCCAGCAUCCAAAGAAAAAGGAUAUACUCUGCAUAUGUGCAUGCCAACAACUAUAAAAGGAGACCAUGAGGCAAUGAGUCGAUCAUCAACGGAAACACACAGAUAUCCCAACUAAAAAUCCAUCGUGAGACAAUGGCUGGAACCAAUGAUAUUAAAAUUAAGGGGUUUGAUUUGAGCAACAACAAAGGCAACACGUCGGGAUUAACCCACUUCGCCAACAGAGCUGACGGGGGCGACAAUGGCAACAAUAAAAUCGAGGUUGAGGAUGCUAAAGGGCAAGGGAACACGGGAAACUUGAAAGUACUGACCGACUUCGCCCAACGCGGUAAAGUGGGCCAGUCGGAUCGCCAAGAACUACUCAAACCUCAGGCAUGAAAUUGAAGAAGGCCAGACCACAACAACUUGUCUGCUUGAUAGAUAUAUGUGCUAAAUUAUCUACACAAAAAUAAGAGCUGAUGUUUUAUCUGAGGCUCCUUCCUUGGUUAGGCCUCGUUAUCAUGUGUAAUAUUAAUAUUAUUAUUCUAAUAAAAUAAUGGUAGCUUAUUAUUAAAUAUAUCAAAAUUCUAUACGUAUAACUUUUAGAUUAUUGAUACUGAUGUCAACAAGAGAAAAUGAUUAAAAAGUCCUUUCUCCAAUUCGUGAUGUUACAAAAUGAGACUUCAAAUUUUAAAACUAUAGUUGCAUACGAGUACAAAACUGAACCAAACAAUGUAUGGGCCAGAGUGACCAAGGAUGUACGCCAGUGAACUAAUGGCAAUCUCUCGUUGCAUGCACGCAUAUGCAAUUGAAGGAGGCAUUAUCUGAGGCUCCUUCCUUGGCUAGGCCUCAUUUUCAAUUUUGAUUUCAACUUUGAUUUUGCUUAAACUUUGAUUUUGAGCUAGACUGUGAUUUCGACUUUGAUCUCCCAAUUCGUGCCUUAAGAAUCAGUUUCUCCCAACUCUAUUUACCAAAACCGAAAACUCUGAACUUUUCAAUUCGUCUGGCUACUCUCAGGGUUUCAUGCCUUAGUUUCCUCUCGCCAAAAAGCCAAAAAGACUUGGCUUUCAUGUAAUGCUAUACUCCUCGAUUGAACAAGCCGCGUCUUCAAAUUCAGCUUUCUCACUUCCUUUCUCUUUACUUUCUUUCUUUUGUUUUCCGGCUGGGAAAAUCAUGGAAGCAUUACAAAUUUAAGAGAAUAUUCUAGUAUUAGGGUCCAAACUGUACUAUUUAGGUAUUUUCAUUCUGAUUAAGAGUUCUUUUCUAGAAAUUUGGGGAAGAAAAAAUAGAGUUUCUGUUUUAGUGUUUGAUUUUCAUUACAGUGAAUUAUGUGAAACCGAAAUGUUUCUUGUCUGAUUUCAUCACUGCUUUCAAAUUGCAAAUUAAGGAUUUGAAGGUUAACAAUGCCCGUCUUUAACAAUGUCGCAUUUCAAUUAGUACAAAAGAAAAAUAAAGGCAUAGUUGAAAAUAGAUUUUUCAGUUUCGAAAGUGACAUUGAGAUUUAAAAAGACUAGACAUUAAGAUGGCAAGAGAGAUCUAAAAGGAUCAAACAAAAAAAGUGAAUGAAAAAUUGAAAAUGCCCUAGAAAGGGAGGAAAUCUUAGUUGCAAUGGGGAUAACAAUGUUUUGCUAUCCUCGAACAAUAAUUUUACACCACGUGACCUAGAAGGAGGCAUGUUAAUCUAACUCAUCUGGUCCACCGUCCAUGAUAUGAACCCGACUUGUGAGUUUUUUUUUUUUUUUGUUGAAGUAGAACAACCAAACUUGAGAGUUGAUGUCACAUCUCAGGAUCGGCUUCACCGUAGCACGAUAUUGUCUGCUUUGGGCCCCCUCGCUGUCCUCGCGGUUUUGUUUCUAGGAGCUCACGAGCAACUUCUCAGUUGGUCACUCAUCUUAGGAUUGCUCUGGCCCAAACUCACUUAACUUCGGAGUUCUCAUGACUCCGAAGCUAGUGAGCUCCUAAAAGGCCUCGUACUAAAUGGAAGUGGGCAUAUAUAUAUAAGGCACAACACCCCAUCUUCGUUGGUUGAUGUGGAAUGUUACAAUCCACCCCCCUUAGAGGUCUGACUUCCUCGUCGGCACACUCUCACCACACGGCAGAGUGGCUCUGAUACCAAACUGUCACAUCCCGGGAACGGCUCCGUCGUAGCACGAUAUUGUCCGCAUUGGGCCAACCUUUCUGCCCUCACGGUUUUGUUACUGGGAGCUCACGAGCAACUUCCCAGUGAAUCACUCAUCCUGGGAUUGCUCUAGCCCAAACUCGCUUCACUUCGGAGUUCCUAUGACUCCGAAGCCAAUUAGCUCCCAAAAGACCUCGUGCUAGAUAAAGGUGGGCACGUACAUAUAAGGCACAUCACCUUCUCUUCGUUGAUCGAUGUGGGAUGUUACAGUUGAGGGCUCCGUUGGUCGAUGUAGGAUGUUACAGUUGAGGCAGCCAAACUAGAAGGGAAGCAACCCAACUCCACUCCCUCUCCCCAUGUGCCCAGUUCUCUGCUCGUUUACUUCACCUUUUAAACAUUUUAGGAUUUUCCAUAAGCAAAGAGGAGAACGACCACAUUACGGUCUCGUUUGGUUCACGAACAGAUUUAAGGGGAAAUAACUUCUCAUGUCAUUUCUCAAGGGAUGAGAAAUGGAGAUUCAUUUCCCAUAUUUGGUAAUCCUAGGAAAAUAACAAAGAAAUACCACUUUAUUUCCUUUCACAUGUUUGGUUUGUCUAGGAAUGUAAAACAAAGUUUGUUUAAUUUUCCAAUUAUACCGAUAUGAAAUCAAAUAAAAAAAGAAUAUUUAAUGUUAUAUUGUAAUUCUAAACUGUUAAUAGGGACAAUAUGAUCAUGAAAAAUGUGUAUUUAAUGUUGGCUCAUUUGCUUAUUUUCCCAAACUUUCACAUGAGGAGGAAAACAAAACCCAAGGGGGGAGGAUGGCUUCACUUUCCCCUCUACUUUCCCAUGUACAAGGCAACGAUUUCUCAAGUCUGGACUUACCAUACAUGGGAAAGAAAUUAAUUUCUCAUCCCCAAGUCAUUUUUCCCAUAAACCAAACGGAGCCUACAGGUUAUAAGCUUCAACCUUUAAGGAUUUUCAUAACAAAUCUUGCAAUCUCAUACCAAGGAAAUAAAAAUAAAAAAAAGGAUCCAUGCGUGUAAUUUCUAGAUUAAAAUCUCACUUUUUACGCAUGCCAUUAUCUAAGGAUUAGGUAUGACUACACACGAACAAUCUUACAAUUAUCUGCAAUUCGUCCUUCAAUGGCCAAAGACGUUAUAUCAAAUGAACAAUAAGACGUACAUUUCUUCAAAGAACUAAAUUAUGUGGAUUUCAACUUGCUCUCACUUAUAUGUUUCUCUCUCUCCUCCUAUUGUUUAGCUUAAGGUUUUAGGGCGUGGUUGUCUAAGAACAAUAAGGUAAACAUGCUUACAAAAAAAGAUGGACAGCAAGGAUGGACAUAUGCGAAUGUGAGCUUUUACACAUUGCCACUAAUUUUCUCCAUGAUUUUGUUGAAAUCAUUAACAAAAUAAGAAACUUUAGUAAUUGAAGCGAAAGAGACUAAUUAUCAGAAGAGAAAAUAUGAAAAAAGAAGCUCCCAAUCCAAACUUUAAGUCACAAGUUUAACAGUUUACUUUAAAACAAAAGCAAGUUACGAAACAAUCCCCUGAUUUCCUUGUUAAACAUCAACCGACCCAUUAUUGAUGAGGAUUGAGAAUCUAAGAGCAUAUGGACGAUGGAUCUCUCUCUCUUUUUGAAAACAAAAACAAAAACAAAAAUCAACUUCAUUAUCCUUAGUGAAUUUGUUCGGGAUUAGUUGUGUUGAAUUAGUACAGCUUACUUACGCAAUCGAAUAUCAAACCUAGCUAGCUAAAAAGAGAAAAAGAAAGGCCACAACGACAGUACUGUAGUAUACGUGAAGAAUCUUAUGAUCUAUAAUAUUCUGUAUUAUUGGCCAUCAUUUUCAAUCCUUAUUAAAGAAAACUUGCUUCGCCAUAAUUUCAAGUUGUUCUGAAGGCAGGCAUAGAGAGCACGUAGCUUGGCAAGGGAGGUAAGGGCACUUCGAAAGAUUCCUUCUCAUCAUCUAUACAAGGAAAUGUGUUCUCAUCAAGCUACGGGACAAGGCAAAUUAGCAACCUUUAUACUCAGAUAUAUUAUUCCAAGCAGAUAAACAUGUAAAUAUAUGUGAAGAAUAUUAUGAUAAUGAUCAAUAUAGAAUCUGUAACAUUAUCAGAGGGGUAUCGAUCGACCAUCCAAAGAAAAGGAUAUCCUCUGCAUAUGUGCAUGCCAACAACUAUAAAAGGAGACCAUGAGGCAAUGAAUCAUCAAAGCAAAGACACAGAUAUCCCAACUAAAAAUCAAUCAGUGAGACAAUGGCUGGAACUGGAACCAAUGAUAUUAAAAUUAAAGGGUUCGAUUUGAGCAACAACAGCGGCAACACGUCGGGAUUAACCCACUUCGCCAACAGAGCUGAUGGGGGCGACAAGGGCGACAAUAAAAUCGAGGUUGAGGGUGCUAAAGCGCAAGAUAACAAGGGAAACUUGAAAGUACUUACCGAUUUCGCCCAACGCGGUGAAGUGGGCAGGUCGGAUCGCCAAGAACUUCUCAAGCCUCAGGCAUGAAAUUGAAGAAGGCCAUACCAUAUAUGUGCUGAAUUAUCUACACAAAAAUAAGAGCUGAUGUUUUAUCUGAGGCUCCUUCCUUGGUUAGGCCUCGUUAUCAUGUGUAAUAUUAAUAUUAUUAUUCUAAUAAAAUAAUGGCAGCUUAUUAUUAAAUAUAUCAAAAUUCUAUACGUAUAACUUUUAGAUUCUUGAGUGGGAAACCCUAGCUGCAUUCUGGUCCCUUUUCUUCUUGCCGACAACCAACCACAAGGAAACUAAAGGGGGAGGUGGCCACUGCCCCUCCCCCCCUUCGCCCAUCUUCCCUUUCUCUCCUCAUCUUCCCUUCUUUUUCUCCCAUCUUUUCCCUUCCUCUUAUGCCCUCUUCUCUUCCCAUUCCCUUUCCCAUAUAGUCUAGAUCUAUUUGGAUCUAGGUUUUGUUUGUUUGUUUGUUUGGUUUGGUUUGGUUGUUUUUGCAGUAUUCUAGGUGACUGGUAGUGACGUUGGAUUGUGUCUAUUAUCGGGAGAGUUGUGAUACCUAGUGGCUGAUGUUUUGUCUCUGUUUCAACGACGGCGGCAGUAGCGACACUAGUGAUAGUUAUUGGAUGUGGUGCUCUUCUUUAUUCUGCACUUACCGAAGAACUAUGCUUGGUCAUAGGAGGUUUUCUUUGUCAGAUUCUGAGUUGAAGUGGAGUGCUUCUUAGGGGUCCUUUUAUUGUUGCUUCUAUGUUCCUCCUCUGUGUUCUCUCCUGUUUUCUGUUAUGGUAUGCCUUGUAGUUUGUAUGGGUGUCAAAAUACUAUGAUUUUGCUCAUAGAAGGCUUCUUUUGACAGUUGGGAUAUUCUACGAUCCUCUUCUGUGGGUUUACUAUUUGGGGUUUCUGUCGUUCUCUCAUGUGGGUGUACUAUGUUGGUAUCUAGUUGAGGUUUUCGUCGGAGUUCUUUUUGUUAGUUUUCGUUUUUGAUUUGUUCUUUUAUUGUAAUGGUCCAAAGCGACCAGAAUUAAACUCUCUUGUUAGUCCAUGACAUGUGUGGUACUCUUUUCUCCCCGGGGUUUGUCCCUUGAGAUUGCCCUAGGAAGGUUUUAACGAGGCCACUAUAUCAUGUUGCUCAUUGUACGUCUUUGGUUCUAUUAAUUAAUUCUCUUUCUUAAAAAUAACAAAAAUAAAUAAAUAAAUAAAUAAAAAUUUAGAUUAUUGAUAACGAUGUCAACAAGAGAAAAUGAUUAAAAAGUCCUUUCUCCAAUUCGUGAUGUUACAAAAUGAGACUUCAAAUUGUAAAACUAUAGUUGGAUACGAGUAUAAAACUGAACCAGGCAAUGUAUGGGCCAGAGUGACCAAGGUUGUACGACAGUGAACUAAUGGCAAUUUCUCGUUGCAUGCACGCAUAUGCAAUUGAAGAAUGCCAUAAUAAUAUGUGUUUUUACUAAAUUAUCUACACUAAAAUAAAAACUGAGGCAUUAUCUGAGGCUCUUUCCUUGGCUAGGCCUCAUUUUCAAUUUUGAUUUCAACUUUGAUUUCGCUUAAACUUUGAUUUUGAGCUAGACUGUAAUUUCGACUUUGAUUCUGAUUCUCUCCCAAUUCAUGCCUUAAGAAUCAGUUUCUCCCAACUCUAUUUACCAAAACCAAAAACUCUAAACUUUUCAAUUCGUCUGGGUACUCUCAGAGUUUCAUGCCCUAGUUUCCUCUCGCCAAAAAGCCAAAAAGACUUGGCUUUCAUGUAAUGCUAUACUCCUCGAUUGAACAAGCUGCGUCUUCAAAUUCAACUUUCUCACUUCCCUUCUCUUUACUUUCUUUUCUUUUGUUUUCCAGCCCGGAAAAUCAUGGAAGCAUUACAAAUUUAAGAGAAUAUUCUAGUAUUAGGGUCCAAACUGUACUAUUUAGGUAUUUUCAUUCUGAUUAAGAGUUCUUUUCUAGAAAUUUGGUGAAGAAAAAAUAGAGUUUCUGUUUUAGUGUUUGAUUUUCAUUAUAGUGAGUUAUGUGAAAUCGAAAUGUUUCUUGUGUGAUUUCAUCACUGCUUUCAAAUUGCAAAUUAAGGAUUUGAAGGUUACAAAUUAUUAUGUAGAUAAUUUUUGGGAAUUUAAGAGGCAGUACAGUGUUUGUAUAAGUCUUGAGAUAGACCAAUUUACCACAUGCUCGAUUUCUAUAUAUAAAUUUUUUUAAAUCAUUCUUUUGUUUUAUUUAUUCUGUUAAUUUGUCAUAAUGUGUAAUAUGAUAGCUUCUAAUUCUUUCUUCCUAUUUCUUCUUUUUUGUUAUUCUCUCCCAAAUGAAAUGAAGACCUAACUUAUAUCAAGAAGAAGAGGAUGGAUCCUUACAUAUGAAGAUUUUAAAAUUAACAUUAUUGGAAGACAGUAGGAGUAUCGGCAAUUUGAUACAAGUAUCGGAGUAUCAAAUACGAGCAUGCCCGUCUUUAACAAUGUCUCAUUUCAAUUAGUACAAAAGAAAAAUAAAGGCAGAGUUCAAAAUAGAUUGUUCAGUUUCGAAAGUGACAUUGAGAUUUAAAAAGACUAGACAUUAAGAUGGCAAGAGAGAUCUAAAAGGAUCAAACAAAAAAAAUGAAUGAAAAAUUGAAAAUGCCCUAGAAAGGGAGGAAAUCUUAGUUGCAAUGGGGAUAACAGUAUUUUGCUAUCCUCGAUCAAUAAUUUUAUACCACGUGACCUAAGGAGGCAUGUCAAUCUAGCUCAUCUGGUCCACCGUCCAUGAUAUGAACUCGACUUGAGAGUUUUUUUUUUUUUUUUUUUUUUUUUUUGGGGUUGAAGUAGAACAACUAGACUUGAGAGUUGAUGUCACAUCUCAAGGUCGGUUCCACCGUAGCACGAUAUUGUCUGCUUUGGGCCCCCUCUUUGUCCUCGCGGUUUUGUUUUUAGGAGCUCACGAGCAACUUCCCAGUUGGUCACCCAUCUUGGGAUUGCUCUAGCCCAAACUCACUUAACUUCGGAGUUCUCAUGACUUCGAAAUCAGUGAGCUCCCAAAAGGCCUCGUGCUAAAAGGAGGUGGGCAUAUACAUAUAAGGCGCAACACCCCCUCUCCGUUAGUCGAUGUGGAAUGUUACAAUCCACCCCCUUUAGAGGUCCGACGUCCUCGUCGGCACAGUCUCACCACACGGCAGAGUGGCUCUAUGCCAAAUUGUCGCAUUCCGGGAUCGGCUCCGUCGUAACACGAUAUUGUCCGCGUUGGGUCAACCUCUCUGCCCUCACGAUUUUGUUUCUGGGAGCUUACGAGCAACUUCCCAGUAGAUCACUCAUCCAAACUCGCUUAACUUCGGAGUUCCCAUGACUCCGAAGCCAGUGAGCUCCCAAAAGACCUCGUGCUAAAUGGAGGUAGGCAUGUACAUAUAAGGCACAUCACCUCCGCUCCGUUGGUCGAUGUGGGAUGUUACAGUUGAGGGCUCCGUUGGUCGAUGUACGAUGUUACAGUUGAGGGCUCCGUUGGUCGAUGUAGGAUGUUAUAGUUGAGGCAGCCAAAAUAGAAGGGAAGCAACCCUACUCCACUCCCUCUCCCCAUGUGCCCAGUUCUCUACUCGUUUACUUCACCUUUUAAACCCCUUCGUACUUGAAGACCUGGCUGGCAAUUUGAUUGAAGCGAAAGAGACUAAUUAUCCAUGCUUUUGUUGAAAUCAUUAACAAAAUAAGAAACUUUAGUAAUUGAAGCGAAAGAGACUAAUUAUCAAAACAGAAAAUAUGAAAAAAGAAGCUCCCAAUCCGAACUUUAAGUCACAAGUUUAACAGUUUACUUUAAAACAAAAGCAAGUUACGAAACAAUCCCCUUAUUUACUUGUUAAACAUCAACCGACCCAUUAUUGAUGAGGAUUGAGAAUCUAAGAGCACAUGGACGAUGGAUCUCUCUCCCUUUUUGAAAACAAAAACAAAAACCAACUUCAUUAUCCUUAGUGAAUUUGUUCUGGAUUAGUUGUGUUGCAAUGGAACAUCGAACCUACCUAGCUAAAAGGAAAAAAGAAAGGCCACUACGACAGUACUGCAGUAUAUUAUUCCAAGAAGACAAAUGUAGACUAUAUACGUGAAGAAUAUCUAGUAUUGGUCGUCAUUUUCAAUCCUCAUAAAAGAAAACUUACUUCGCCAUAAUUUCAGGUUGUUCUCAAGGCAGGAAGGUAAGGACACUUGAAAAGAUUCCUUCUCAUCAUCUAUAUAAGGAAAUGUGUUCUCAUCAAGCUAGGGGACAAGGCAAAUUAGCAACCUUUAUACUCGAUAUAUUAUUCCAAGCAGAUAUACAUGUGAAGAAUAUUAUGAUCUUGAUCAAUAUGGAAUCUGUAUCAUGAUCAGUGGAUGUAUCGAUCGACCAUCCAAAGAAAAAGGAUAUCCUCUGCAUAUAUGUGUGCAUGCCAACAACUAUAAAAGGAGACCAUGAGGCAAUGAGUUGAUCAUCAAAGCAAACACACAGAAAUCCCAACUAAAAAUCAAUCAGUGAGACAAUGGCUGGAACUGGAACCAAUGAUAUUAAAAUUAAAGGGUUCGAUGUGAGCAACAACAGCGGCAACACGUCGGGAUUAACCCACUUCGCCAACAGAGCUGCCGAGGGCGACAAGGGCGACAAUAAAAUCGAGGUUGAGGAUGCUAAAGGGCAAGGGAACACGGGAAACUUGAAAGUACUGACCGACUUCGCCCAACGCGGUAAAGUGGGCCAGUCGGAUCGCCAAGAACUUGUCAAACCUCAGGCAUGAAAUUGAAGAAGGCCAUACCAUAACCACUUGUCUGCUUGAUAGAUAUAUGUGCUAAAUUAUCUACACAAAAAUAAGAGCUGAUGUUUUAUCUGAGGCUCCUUCCUUGGUUAGGCCUCGUUAUCAUGUGUAAUAUUAAUAUUAUUAUUCUAAUAAAAUAAUGGUAGCUUAUUAUUAAAUAUACCCAAAUACUAUACGUAUAACUUUUAGAUUAUUGAUACUGGUGUCAACAAGAGAAAAUGAUUAAAAAGUCCUUUCUCGCAUUCGUGAUGUUAGAA